RNA transcript from Hydractinia symbiolongicarpus, 9856 nucleotides. It is a transcript of the gene named ankyrin repeat and EF-hand domain-containing protein 1-like, with no coding region annotated. Lineage: Eukaryota; Metazoa; Cnidaria; Hydrozoa; Anthoathecata; Hydractiniidae. The record is from RefSeq and is a predicted model, not a curated record. The transcript is spliced from 7 exons.
UUUUUAAAGUUGCAGUGUUGUUUUUCUGCAGUUCCAUGUGUGCCUGGCCAAAGUAGUAGGAAGAAAGGGAACCUAAAGCGCUUAAAUUUCAACAGACACAACUGCUUCUCUUCGUUAUUAAACUUUUGACGUAUUAUGGAAAUAACCACAAAUAUCUACUGCUGAAAAAAACGUUUCUGUUAAUCAAAUGUUCACAAAAAUCUAACCAAUAGACAAUGUCUAUGACUGACAAAGGAAUGUUUGGCAAAAGGGGGAGGAUACUCGCAACAAGUGGAUAAAACCACCCUGCCAUUUAACAGCUAUUCUUAUCAUUAUCAUUAUUAAUUGUCUUGGUUACUCAGUAAAAACACACUUAUUAAUCGAGAAUAUUGUAUUAUGGCACAUUUUGGUAUACAACAUCAUCCGCAUGGAACGCAAUUUGUAAAUUUGGGGAAUGGAUUGGGAUGCCGGGUAAGAAAAUAAAUAAGUAAGGCAGGACAGAUAACGCAUGCUGCUAGUAAUCAUAACAAGGUAAUCACACCAAAAUGCUUGCCCAAGGCAAAGAGGGUAAUUUCCUAAGAGUAUGCACGUUUUGGUUGCCCCUCACAAGCUUAUGUCCUCAUGGAUCAUAAUAUUGUGAACGGUUUCCAAGGCAUGACCCAGAUCUCUUCAUGCAUGAAUAACAUACUCAUAUCCUCUAUUCACGAGGUACAUUUCACAACUAAUAAUACAUUUACUUGUCACUUGUAAUUAAUGAUUAAUUAUUUAGUUUAUUAAUUAUAUGCUUAUUUAAUAAUUUAUUCUCAUGCAUGAAGGAUAUUGUUUCUCUUCCACUUCAAUCAUGAAGGUACACUGCACUUCACUAUAAACCGAUAAUCACAUAUGGUGUCUUCUGCACCCAAUAAACAUGUGUUAUCAAUAAUCAUGAGCUAAAGGUGGAAUGCACAAGCUGGUCCAGUAUUGGCCCAGCGUGUGUUACCACAUAAUAAUAAUAUCAGGAUUCAUAAAAGGGUGUGCCUCACCGUAAUGAUAAUAAGUGAUAAUAAUAUCAAGUAAUAAUAAGAUACACAAGCCUCACACACGCAUCUGUCCAAAUGUUAUAUGGCUGACGUAGGAAGCCCGACAUCCCCAAAUUUUCCCAAAUUAGUGUGGGUAUUGGAGGAAAAAGUCAGUCAUUAAGAGUACCGGCUUAUAUGCGUCAACAACAUACAUACAUACAAAGGAGCCUAGAUACACGUAAAACUGUACAAUAGCUAUAAAAAGCAAAUAACAGUCUAUGGCCAAAAUAAACACAAAGUCAUAAUACUUGACAUAUAUAAAAUCCAUAUUACGACACGAAUUGUGUAUGUAACCACAGGACCUAGUCUAGUAAUUAUAAUACAAUAAAUAACAAAGAUCACUCUGUAAAUUUAAAUGGAUCGAAUGUCCCACAACUUAGGCACGUCAUUGAGGUUGGCCAUUUUAGAACACCACUGUGUUAACACUUUAUUGGGAAGAUGGAUAUAUCGACGAUAACAGUCGCUGGACCACCUGCCUAAGAUCUUAAUGGCAGAGUCUGGAAUACCGCAAGAUGCUGCGGCAGAGGCCCCACCAAUCCUGAAGCUUUUUCAACAAUAUUCAAUGUUUUUGAUGUGAAAUGUCGAAAAAUCAUCAGUCAUGUUUGAAAACAUGGCUAUAGCUAUUUAUUGAAAUUCAGCCGUAAAAUUUAUGUAUCUAACAUAUAAAUUUUGCUUUAUUAUUAGACACAACUGCUUCUCUUCGUUAUUAAACUUUUGACGUAUUAUGGAAAUAACCACAAAUAUCUACUGCUGAAAAAAACGUUUCUGUUAAUCAAAUGUUCACAAAAAUCUAACCAAUAGACAAUGUCUAUGACUGACAAAGGAAUGUUUGGCAAAAGGGGGAGGAUACUCGCAACAAGUGGAUAAAACCACCCUGCCAUUUAACAGCUAUUCUUAUCAUUAUCAUUAUUAAACCUCAGGCUUUGCCCCAUGACAUAAUUUUACAACUUCUCAACAUCAUGCUAAUUUUGGGUCAAUUUAUUUUCUGGAUUUUUUCUUUGAUGAUUCACAGCUUGAAAAGAAAAAUUUGAAAUUCUCACCAAAACUUUGAUAGUGCAAAAAAAAUUUAAAAUCAUACUGCAAAUAAUAUAACCUGCCCAUAUAUUUUACAAUUAAAUUCUUAUUUAAGUAGAUUUAAUGUAAAGAAACAACGAUAAAUAAAAUACAGGAUGGUGUGCAAUCUAAUCAAGUUUAUUAGUUACCCAACUAUCAUCAGUCAAUUUAAAACCUUGCAUGACACAGAUAUUUAUUUGUUAGAGAACUUAUUAUUAAUACAAUUUAUCAAAUCGUUUUAUCCCUAUUAUUUAUUUUGACUUUGACUGGCCAUAACUUUUGUUCCUAAUGUAUUUGGGUGCUAAACUUUUCUGACUUUUCUUAACUUUUCUUGAAGUUUGUGAGAAAAGAAUUAGGAAAAAAAUAUGGGUAUUAAAUUUCUCAGACUGAGGUAAAUUUUAAUAGGUGCUGACAUGCAUGUUUGGAUGUUAUAAGAUGUGGCAUUGGUUAUUUGCCACAUGUAUGUUGGUAACCACGCAAUUAAUAAUGCACUGUUAGGAAGAUAUAGGGUCCCACACGCUCAUUCAACAGAGCCUGCGGCAGCGAACUUCAGAAACGUGCAUGCAGGAGAAUUUGAAAACAUAAUCGUAAAAAUGAUAACGUCAGCACAUUUAAAAUAUUGCUCUAAUAGCCCAAAAUAAAGUCCAUGGCCUAUGUAUUAAACUCAAAAUAUGUUUUGGUGUGUGAGGCCACAGUCUUGUAAAAACAACAAAAAUUGCAGCCAUAGCUAUUAUUGUGGUUACGGAAAUAGCGAAACUAUAACCAUUUUACACGUCAAAUUUACAAAGUAUGAAAGUUUUUCCAACAACAUGGUAUAUAUUCCUAUAAAGCCACAUUACUUAAGUUUUCCAUUGUGAAAAUUUCAUUCUACUUACAUAUUUUUUUAGCUAGAUAUUAGAAGAAACAUAGAGCUCCUAUUUCAUCUAAACGCAGUGCAGCCGCUAACUGUACUGUUUAGACAAACACAUCUGUAAAUUAGACAAACUAUGUCGAAUAUGUGGAUUUCUUCUCUCGAAAAAGAAGAACAAUACGUUCAAGGUCUUAAACCAUAAGGUCAGUAGGAGAAUGCAGCAACAUUUGUUCAUAAACAUUGAAAAUGACACUGAGGCCCUCGACCCAACCAAAAUCUGUAUGAAGUUCUACUCCAGACUUGGACAAUUGGACCAUAGAAAAAGCACAAGUAACUUAGAGUUGUUCAAAUGGACGGAGCAAAGUGAGCAAAAUUGCAAUUUAUGCGAAAACAAAAUUAAAUGAAAAAAGGGUGAAAGCCUGGAAAAUGGAUGUCCACAGGACGUUAUAGUGUCACAAAUUUACACUGGACCAGAAUUGAGACAUCAAAAAUUCAUGAAAAGUUAGGUAAAACAGUCGUGUUGAUAAAAAAAUUCAAUGAAAACCUUAAUUUAUGCAUAUGCCAGUUAUGUGAAAAUUUAAUGCAGAAUUCUGUGCUUUUGACCAAAUGUCAACUUAGCUUUUCCUUCAAAUGCUUUAUACCAACAGUGGAGGGUCGACCUCUUGAGAGUACUAAUUGUCCUGUUUGCUCCACUCUGGUGACUCCAGAAUUCAUUACAAGCUCUCAAACCAUAUCCCAUUAAAUAAGUAGUUUGAAAACUGCUUGUGAAAAAUGUGGUGAAGUUUUCAAACCCGAGGAAUAUUGCGAAGACGUGUAUUGGGCAAAAGUCACCACUAUUGAGUGAUGUUUUUAAAAUAAACAAAGAAAAUUAUAUCCCAAAAGAAUUUAAAAAAGCUACUCUCCAUGUGAUCAAAAUAAAAAUGGCAAAAUCAACAUUAUCAAAUCCUGGCAUUAAGUUCAUAACUGGUGGAUCAAGAGUAAGAACAACAUUAUUUCAAUUGAACGUCACAUAUUAGUUCAUCUUAAAAACGAUUACAUUUAUAUAAUAAUACUUUUGUUAUAGCCCUUGGUCUUGACAUCAACUCCAAAAGCUAAAAAAAACAAAACAGAAUUAAGUAAAAGAACUGUUCAAAAACACAACAAAUCCAUCCUAGGCCAACUUCAGCUUAUUUAAAUUUUGUUAACCUGUAGAGGUUACCAAAAUUUUACUCAGUUAGUUAACAUUGUAUACUCAUACACAAACAGAGUUGUAAAUUAUUGCAAAGACUAAUUUUUGCAAAUUAACGGUACUGUUAAUAAAGCUAACUUAAAACAAAACAUAACUUAAAGAAACGAAUUUAUAUAACAUGUAUACAGCAAAAGGUGUACCCACAAAAGUUUCAACUGGAAACUUUUAAGUCAUACAACUAUAAUACAAUAAGCACAUAAUUUUGCUAUUGUUUGGUAAUUCAGGUGGUGGUGCUGAAACAUUGGUAAAAAUGCAAAAUAUUAUAUAAAUUUAUCAAGAAAUUUGGUUUUCUUUUUCUGUGUUAAAUUACAGUUGGCUAAAAUCAUUGAAAAUAAACGUUGUCUGUCAAUCAAAAUAACGAAAAAUAGCGAAAAAAAUGGACUGGUGAAGAUAUAGCAGUUAAAAUGAUAAACUUCCAGUUUCCAAAGGACAAAAAGGGAAAUUUUCUUUUGAGGAUGCACCAUGGAGUUAUGUUAUUGAUCUUGUUACACAUAUUGUGUAUUAUCUUGAUGCACUGGAGUAAGUUGAAACUUUUAAUAUGUAGGAAGUUGCUUUUGGCUAUUAAACUGUAAAAUGGUAAACUUAUCAAAUUAGGGAGCGUUCACAUAUUACGUAAUCAAGUAGGGGGGAGGGGGUUCAUCGAAAUUGCUUAUGCUUGAUCAUGGGAGAGGGGUCGAUGGGAUAAGCAAAUAAAAAAAAAUUAGCAGCAUAUUUUAUCAGUGUAAAAAAUAUAUAAGUAAAAUAUAAAACUGUAAAUAUUUAAAACUUUUGUAGGGUCUGAUAAGACAAACAGUGUUUGUUUUCAUUCAUAAACUAAUUCUUUACGGAUUUUUUUGGGGGGGGUCAAGUAGAUGAUGACGUAAUUUUGGGAGGAGGGGCAAUGAUGAUGACUGAUUAAAUGGGGGAGGGGGAGUAGAAAAUAGGCAAAAAAUUGAUUACAUAAUAUGUGAACGCUCCCUUAUCAGACUGACAUUCAAUUCACAAACUUACAACAUUAAAAAUUGUAUAAAUGUACCAUUCCAAGUAACACAUAUGUAACACAAUUUCAUUUAGACAUUCUUAGUUUGUUGAAAAAAGCACCUAUCAAAAUUCGAUCGACCAUGGAGGGAGAUCAUUUAAAAUGUCCUACCAAUGUUGUAACACACUUCAUCCAAAUAGCAGAGGAAACACAGUUGUGUUUACUAUUUUUGGGGCAAAAGACUUUAGGAUAAACUUGAAACUAGGUUUGUUGCGAUUCAGUGAUCAAAUAGAUUUACUACAAACAUUACUACAAACAGGUGAGUUACAAAAUAGUACGUAUCAAUAAGAAAAAAUAUUUUUUAGACAAAGAAUAUCAGGGUAUUAAUGUUUGGUGACUACAAAUUUUUGUGUGUGAUAUAUGGAAUAACUGGUGUAAGUGGUAUGUAACUUUCCAAAAAAACAAAAACAAAAAAAUAUCAUUCUAAAUGAUGUUGCAAUUAAUCAAUAUUUCAAUUAAAUAUUUUACAGGUAGUCAUUGCUGCCUCUUUGUGAAAUAACAUCAAAGGAUAUGAAAACACCUCUAUCAAAAAGAGGAACAAUCAAAAAACGAACCUUGGAAUCACUGAAAAGUGACCUAACAAGAUUUCGAAAUGCUGGUGGCAACAUAAAUAGAACUACCAACAAUACACAUUUCUUUGGGAACAUAUUUGAAAUUUUUUAAUAUGCUGGAAGACAUAAUGUCACCUCUUGGAUUUCAAGAUAGCAGGCAGUGCUGCAAUCAAAAACAAAACAAUGACAGAUGGAAGCUUUCAGUCAUAUGUGGCGACACAAAUUAAAAUACGGGACUUGGAAUAUCUUGUUCAGAUUACCACAACAAAAUUAAUCUUGUUCACGUAGCCAUUACCACGAACAUAAUAACAAAACCUGAAAAAGAAGAGGAGAUAAUAAGCAUCUAUCAUCCAAGAAUAAAACGCUGGAAUGAUAAAAUGAGAGAAAAGUUGGCACAAAUUGAUGAAUUGGAGGAAAAAAAUUUUGGGGAAAUCAUUAGACACAAGAUUGAAACAAAUAGGCGAUGAAAAUCAAGCAUAUCAUACAAAAUCCCUUAUUGGUAAAGACGUACAUAAAAUGUUAAAGGUGAAAAAUAUACUAGAAUUAUACAACAGCAUUCCUAUCUUGGUAGUGAAUUUGGGAUUUCGCGAUACUGAUAUACACUGAGAAUCCAUUCAGCUAUGUACAAUUCAAGCUCCUUUUUAAUUACUAUUCAAAAUGUCACAACUUGAUGAAUUCUGUGAAAAACACCAUGUGAGUCUUGGUGCCUAAAUAUCAGUCUUGUGACAAUCAGACACGUCUAUCAAAACUUUGAUGAGUUUCUCGAGGAAAACUUUCCCAGUUGAAUCUGUUACACCAAAACUACACAUGCUGGUAAAUCACGUUGUAGAUUUUAUUUCAAAAUGGAAGAUUGGUUUGGGAUUGUAUUGUGAACAAGGCGAGGAGAGCAUUCACUCUGAGUUCAAUAUCUUCAGAAGCACAUAUAUUAGUGUGAGACAACCAGCAUCAAAGUGUGUGUCAUUAUAGAACAACACCAAUUGAAAGUAUAAAACCAAUAUGCAAAAGCUAUAUCCCCGAGACUAAAAAACAGAAAAAAGAACUCCAAAUCAAAGAAUGAUUCAGAGUAUUAGCUGAGAUAGCCAGCGAGGAAUGUAUAUAGUAGUAAUUUUAACACGAGUAUAAUACUUAGCUUUAGUUGUUGCUGGAAAAUUAUCAGCUUAUUAAUCCAUUGGCAAUGAGACCAUGUUGAUUUUUUGACUUUUUGAUUGACUUUAACGACCACGGAAAUUUCCAAACUGUGGACUCACAUAUCUCAUUCGUUUUUUUUUAAGGUUAACCAAGUAUUCCUCUAUAUGAGUAUGCAAUUCAUUUGCUCAGAGAAAUUCUGAACGGGAUUAUAUAAGCAUUAUCCUGUAAUGGGCAAUCCGAAACUUUGAAAAUGAUUCCACAUUUUGCUGAAGAGCCAGCGACAUACUUCCGAAGUUCUUUCUUCCUUGUUCAGUCUAAUCUACAUGUCAGUUUGCAAUUAAAUUUUGUGAGUAUGGGGCCUAUACAAGCUUACCCAGAAAAUUUUAUUGCAAACCAAGUUACAGAUCCCAAGUUAUUGGGUCGUCAGCAAAAAAUUAGGAGGCCUGGGACGAGCAAACAAGUGUUAUUUUGUCAAAAAACUUGUUAAUCAAUUUACCUUAUAAUAUGCCUUAUAAUAAAUAUCCAUUGAUAAAGUUUGAAUGCACAUGCCUUUACUGGUCUUAAAUUGCUGAUGACUGAAAAUGUCAAAAUUUGUUAUUACUUCAAUAUGACAUCAUACUUUAUGCAACAUAAUUAAAUCUAAAAUACUUUAAAUGUGAAUAUCUUGAAUGAAAAAAGCUUUUUAAAAAAAUUAAAAAGACUUGUUAACCAACUUUUGAAGCUCUAUAAUAAGCCCAACAUUUAUACCUCGGGAUCCCUUUAAGUCUUAAAUAUCAGACCUGAUUUCCUUCCCUGGCUGUUUGUCAGUUUCAUGUGUUAUACCAUGUAUUUUGACAAAAUAAAUCAAUGGUAGAGAUAAUAUCUUCGUAUAUGUUAAAUUAUUUUUUGCAAUAAAAUGAACCAAUGUUACCUACCAAUAAUUAUUGAUAUGUUUAGAUGCUAAGCUUUUCUAUGAUAAAACACUGUGUUAUCUUUAUUUAAAUUGUAGUAUUUAUGUUAUAAAUUCUAGACUUAAAAUAUGUUUUGAGAAAAAAAACAUAUUUCAAUCGUAAAAUCCAAGACUCUUCAAAGUAGAAACAGAUGAACUUGAAAACAUAGCCCCAGAAGAAUAUGCUGAGGAGAAGAAAAACAAAAAUAAAAAUAAAAUAAAAACAAAACAACAGGCACCAGAAAGAAAUAUAGAGAAAAUAUAAAUUAGUAUAUUAAAAGCAAGCAGCAGUAAUCAUUAAUUUUUUUUAUUUGUUUCUGAUCAAAAUACUUUUCUUAUAAAUGAUUUUAACAGGGUUAAUCGAAAAAGAGGCUAUAAGCAUUUCAAAUGAUUGAAUGGUAUUAUAAUUUGUUGUUCUGACUUUAUUAAUUAUUAUAGUUUCCAGAGUUUGGAAGUGAUGCUCAGAAAAGUAAUUGAUAAUUGAUCACUUUCUGUCAAAAAUUCAGGCAAAGUUAAUAGAUGUUAGAAAUGACGAAAAUGAUGUAAAAAAGUGGGAGAACACAAAUGUAGUACAGUUAAACAAACACUGUAAGCUGUCCUCGUGAUUGAGUAAGAAGACAUUACAAAUAUCCUUCAGGAAUUUAUUUAUCAGUGAGCCACAUAAAGAGGGACCUGGCAAUAGCUUUAGGCUGCCAACAAAACAUACCUGCAAGGAAGACAUGACAUCUGCAACCAUAUCACCAGGAGUCUCUUCCACCACAACCAUCACACAAACAACAACCGGCGUCAGCAGAAUCACUGCAACAACAAUUUUCACUUCCACUAUCAGUCCAGCAACAGCUACUACACCCCCACUGUUACCAGAACAAAAAGAAAAAGAGAUCCUUAAAAUCUAGACAUGCAUGCUCACUAACUCCAAAAUGCAAACAACUUAAAUGUGCAUAUCCUGUGCAAUUCGACACUCCUACACACCACAGUCCUGGAAAUUCCUGGAAUUUUGACAAGAAAUUGAAAAUGUUAAUUUUUUAUUGAAUCUAAGUUUUUCUUUUAGUCCUAAAAUUUCUCAGAGAAUUACCAUUAUAGCAUUCAAAUAUUGUUGAGAUUAAUGAAAGGUUCCAGCAACUCCAAUUUCAUCAUGUGAAGAAAUAUAGAUCCAGGGUUAAGUAAAGUUAAUGUAGCUAUACAAUUCACUCACUGUAAUCUCAUUCUUAGAUUAAAUCGAUUAUAUUCUUAGAACUAAAAAUUUGACGUUGUUGCUUAAUGGUAACAUAGCAAAAAAAACUAUUGCGCAGAAUCUAUUGAAAUGUGGCCCCUUUUGUUUCAAAGAUCACUGAUUAUUUCAGUGUAUUUUUUUCAAAAUGUCAUCCUCAAGCAGUCAAAUGAUUUUUAAUGUCCCCUAGCAUCAGAUUUUAUUAUUAAAUCAGUAUAUCUUACAAAUGAGAAAAUAAUUCCUUCUUCGGAAAUAUCAGGGCAAACUUUAAGGCUUGCACAAUAUGCAACCACAGAACUCCAGGGUUAAAAACGAGUUUCGUGAAAUCCUGCAACAUAUUUGGCUUAUAGCGAUCACACAAAUGUUUCUAGAUUGCAUUGCAUGCAUCUCAAAGAAUUGCUUAUGACGAUAUCUCCCAGAAUUGUCCUGGAAUAUCAAACAAUUUUGUCCUGGAAAAUCCUGAAUGUCCUGGAAUUUACAUUUUAAUUUUCAGUGGUCACCAUGUACACAACUUUCAUUGCACUUCAACAACAACACUCCUAUAUAUUGUUAACUUCAACUCCUCCAUAUCCACCAUUUUGUUGCCACUCCACAUCAGCCAUUUUCACAGACUGUCAAUCAACAAUGCCAACAGCUAAACAGCAAAUUAAUUCAUAAAAAUUCAUUGGUUUGUGAAAAAAUAUACUAUGUGAAAAUGUGUAAUAUUGUGGUAUAGCAACCAUGAAGUACUGCUGCAAAUUCCAUAAAGGAAUGUCCAGGUUAGGAACAUAAACUUGUAAUAUAUUUAAUUUUAUUACUUUGUAAAACUAACAACUUAUUGAUUUAAUAUAUAACUUGUAAAUAUAAAAUUUAU